This 527-nucleotide ribosomal RNA is filed under the name uncultured eukaryote. RNAcentral describes it as "bacterial SSU rRNA". It matches the Rfam family "Eukaryotic small subunit ribosomal RNA", at positions 20 to 575 of the family's 1831-position model. The record is from RNAcentral.
GUAUUCAUAUGCUGUUUUCAAAGAUUAACCCAGCCAUGGGUAAGUAUAAGUAUUGUCCAGGGAAAUUGGGAAGGGUUCAUUAAUCCAGUUAUAGUUUUUUUGUUAAUGAAAAGUUCCAGGGAUACCCGGGCCAAAUACCAGUUAAUCCAGCCAUCAAGCCCUGUACGAGGGUGUAAUUAUUAGUAAUUAACCCAUUUCUUAGGCAAGGGGGUGAAUUAUUGUAAUUGAAAGGAUUGCCGAAUUGUGCGAUAAAUCAUUCAAGUUUCUGCCCUAUCAGCUUUGGAUGGUAGUGUAUUGGACUACCAUGGCAGUCACGGGUAACGGAGAAUUAGGGUUCGAUUCCGGAGAGGGAGCCUGAGAAACGGCUACCACAUCUACGGAAGGCAGCAGGCGCGAAAAUUGCCCAAUCCCGACUCAGGGAGGCAGUGACAAGAAAUAACAACUUUCAAUUAUGUUAAAAAGUGUAAUGAGGAUAAUUUAAAAACCUUACCGAAAGCAAUUGGAGGGCAAGUCUGGUGCCAGCAGCC